Marmota flaviventris (yellow-bellied marmot) is the source of this 206-nucleotide long non-coding RNA. RefSeq lists it as uncharacterized. Lineage: Eukaryota; Metazoa; Chordata; Mammalia; Rodentia; Sciuridae. The record is from RefSeq and is a predicted model, not a curated record.
UGUGCACUGACCACACCUCGGCUGUCACUCGUGGAGCAUUUUGGUUGAUUCGACGGCAAGAUGAAGGCGAAGUCCCCUGCAGCAGAGCCUCCAGAGUCGCCGGAAUGACCGUGUGGCCACUGCCGCCAGCUCGGGUGCUGGUGCCCUCACCCAAGCGCUGGGCGAACAUGGCCACGGGAACUCCCCAGGGCAAACCAACCACCCCU